CACGUAGGGCGCAAGCGUUGUCCGGAAUUAUUGGGCGUAAAGCGCUCGUAGGCGGUUUGUUGCGUCGGCUGUGAAAUCCCGAGGCUCAACCUCGGGUCUGCAGUCGAUACGAGCAAACUAGAGUGUUGCAGGGGAGACUGGAAUUCCUGGUGUAGCGGUGAAAUGCGCAGAUAUCAGGAGGAACACCGGUGGCGAAGGCGGGUCUCUGGGCAACAACUGACGCUGAGGAGCGAAAGCGUGGGGAGCGAACAGG
RNAcentral lists this ribosomal RNA (253 nucleotides) under uncultured bacterium. Its description in RNAcentral is "partial 16S ribosomal RNA". It matches the Rfam family "Bacterial small subunit ribosomal RNA", at positions 524 to 776 of the family's 1533-position model. The record is from RNAcentral.